RNAcentral lists this small RNA (94 nucleotides) under Arabidopsis thaliana (thale cress). RNAcentral describes it as "ATSL076830". The record is from RNAcentral. Lineage: Eukaryota; Viridiplantae; Streptophyta; Magnoliopsida; Brassicales; Brassicaceae.
UUCAGAGAGUUGACAGAAUAUAUAUCAUUUCCAUCUCUGUGGCAUUUGAAUGUGAAGUUUUUGCUCUGUUGAGAAUCAUCCAGAUGAUGAACAC